GUAGUUGCAUAUUAAAAGAAGCCUCUGGAAGAGAGCAGCGCUCCCUCGGAGCUUUGUGCCCUCGGUUUGGAGACGACGCGCCUGAAGGAUGGGAUGGUGGUGGCCGUUAGCGCCUCUCCUCAAGCCGCAGCUGGGAUGGACUCGGGCCCCAGGGAAGCUCCUUACCCCGCGCCGGUUGGCACGGAGUGUUUCAGGUUAAGGACAACAUGUCAGGGCCAGCGGGCAGCCAGAUCACAGCCUGCAGCCCUGCAGCUCCUCAAUCUUCAUAGGCCAUCCCGUCUGGCCCUGCUAGCAGCUCCCCGGCUCUGUAGGCAGAUGGUUCCAGCAGGAGACCCACCCCCGGGAGGGCUGCGCCCCAGUCACCCACCUCAUCUCACCCAGGCUCCGCUGCUGACUCCUUGCUUCACUUUAAAAAUACCAUCUGAUGGCUCAGCAGCCUAG
RNAcentral lists this long non-coding RNA (441 nucleotides) under Vulpes vulpes (red fox). Its description in RNAcentral is "lncRNA (ENSVVUG00000007260.1)". Lineage: Eukaryota; Metazoa; Chordata; Mammalia; Carnivora; Canidae. The record is from RNAcentral.